UCUUUAGAUUUUCAAAUUAUAGUUGUUUCUCCCGAUUGUAAGGAAAUUAUUUGUAAUCAAGAUUUUCAAUUAAUAAAUUCAGGUCGUCGUUGGAUUACUAGUGGCCGGAGCCACCGUAGAUGGAGGCAAAGGAAGAUAUCUUCAUUAUCUAGAAAGUGUUUUACCCAAGUUUAGAACUUGGGGUCUUUUUUUUUUUUUUUUUUUUUGUAUUUAUAAGAAAAGAAUAUAAAAUUCGGUGUUUCUUGCUUUUGUAGAGUGAAAUCCCCAGACUGAAAAGUGCUUUUGAAGAUGAAAUCCCUGGAAGUACAUAUAUUUUAAGAUAUAAUUGCAAAUAAAUGUUCUUGAUGUUCUUGUUUAUGAAGAUGAUAGAAGAUUGGUGUGUUCUUGUUUUUGGUUUACUUUACUAAAGAUUUAAAUAAAAACAUGAAUUGACCAAAAUACCCUUAAGUGAAUAAACUUAACUAAAUUUUUUAACCUGGUUAGUACUAAAGGACGUAGAGUGUAACGGGUUUUGCAAAUAAAGGACUGUGACAGUAAUUAUUGAAGUUAAAGGCUAUCCGUUGCAAUCCCGUACAAACAUAAAGGACGAAAAGUGUAAUUUACCCUUUUUUUCGGUUUUGUUGAUCGUUGGUGCUACUUGGCACUGUUCUACCCGGGGGACUAAAAGGUUAAAAAAAACAAUAAUGGGAAAGAAUUCUUACAAGAAUUUGAUUUUCACGCUUCAGCUGAAGUUCCAAUGCUUCUUCAAGUACGGCGAGAGUAUACUUGAUGUUUGGGCGGUGUGCUGGCUCGUCAUUUAUGCAAGAAUAUGCUGCUCCGGCGUAUCCGUACCAUGAUGAUCGGGAUACCAUUUGAUUAUGGAGAUAAAGAGGGAUUAUAUCCAAUAGUUUAUGGUUUUCUAUAAGAUCUUUGACCAAUGGAGCCAGAAGGCUGUUGAUAUGUUUCGGAAUAAAGGCUUCUCUCCCGCAUAACAUUUCACAUAGAACGACGCCAAAGGAGUAGAUAUCGGACGUGUGGGACGCACCUCUAAUCUUCUCAAUAGCAGGGUCCACAUACCCAGCUAUUCCAAUGGGUUCACAAAGGACGACCUGGUCUAUUUGGCUAUCCGAUUGUUUGAUGGAAAAUGUAAAACCGGAUAACUUGGCUUCCCAGUUGUGG
Long non-coding RNA from Helianthus annuus (common sunflower), 1158 nucleotides. RefSeq lists it as uncharacterized. Lineage: Eukaryota; Viridiplantae; Streptophyta; Magnoliopsida; Asterales; Asteraceae. The record is from RefSeq and is a predicted model, not a curated record. The transcript is spliced from 2 exons.